AAGGAUUUAAGUUAAGCAAAAAACUAAUAGCCUUCAAAGCUAUAAAUAAAAAUAAUUUUUUAAGCCUUA
RNAcentral lists this transfer RNA (69 nucleotides) under Diestramima sp. ZJZ-2017. RNAcentral describes it as "tRNA-Trp". The record is from RNAcentral. Lineage: Eukaryota; Metazoa; Arthropoda; Insecta; Orthoptera; Rhaphidophoridae.